This 410-nucleotide ribosomal RNA is filed under the name Otostigmus sp. 1 TYC-2022a. RNAcentral describes it as "partial small subunit ribosomal RNA". It matches the Rfam family "Bacterial large subunit ribosomal RNA", at positions 1829 to 2524 of the family's 2925-position model. Lineage: Eukaryota; Metazoa; Arthropoda; Chilopoda; Scolopendromorpha; Scolopendridae. The record is from RNAcentral.
GUCUUUUUGAGUUACAUUAAAAGUCUAACCUGCCCAAUGUUAAAUGAAUGGCCGCGGUAUUUUGACCGUGCUAAGGUAGCAUAAUAAAUAGUCCAUUAAUUAUGGUCUGGAAUGAAAGGUUUAACAGAGAAUGACUUUUUUAAUACUAAAUUUGAAUUUUAAUUAUUAGUAAAAAUGCUAAUAUGUAAAAGAGGGACGAGAAGACCCUAUAGAGCUUUAUACAAAUAUUUUAAUUGUAGGAUAGCUUAAAUCACUGUAUUUUGUUGGGGCGACAAUAAAUUAUAAACAUUUAAUUUAAUAUCUGUUAUAAUAGGUUAAAUGAUCCAUUAAUAAUGAUAAAAGACUAAGCUACCUUAGGGAUAACAGCGUAAUUUUAUCCUAGAGUUCUUAUCGACGAUAAAGAUUGCGAC